CACAAAUUAAAAUAUAAAGGCUUCGGCUGGAUUAUUUUAUUACCCUUGUCUUUUGCGCACUUGUUGUUUCCUGGGCGGGUUCGCCCGCCACCAGGACCACAUGAUAAACCUUUUUUAUGCAGUUGCAAUCAGCGUCAGUACAACAAAUGUAAGUCAUUUA
Molecule: unclassified non-coding RNA, 160 nt
Filed under: soil metagenome
Description: partial internal transcribed spacer 1
Source: RNAcentral